CCUACGGGAUGCACCAGUGGGGAAUAUCGGACAAUGGGCGAAAGCCUGAUCCAGCAAUGCCGCGUGUGUGAAGAAGGUCUUCGGAUUGUAAAGCACUUUCGACGGGGACGAUGAUGACGGUACCCGUAGAGGAAGCCCCGGCUAACUUCGUGCCAGCAGCCGCGGUAAUACGAAGGGGGCUAGCGUUGCUCGGAAUGACUGGGCGUAAAGGGCGCGUAGGCGGUUUAUGCAGUCAGAUGUGAAAUCCCCGGGCUUAACCUGGGAACUGCAUUUGAGACGCAUAGACUAGAGGUCGAGAGAGGGUUGUGGAAUUCCCAGUGUAGAGGUGAAAUUCGUAGAUAUUGGGAAGAACACCGGUGGCGAAGGCGGCAACCUGGCCCGAUACUGACGCCGAGGCGCGAAAGCGUGGGGAGCAAACAGGAUUAGAUACCCUGGUAGUC
This 440-nucleotide ribosomal RNA is filed under the name uncultured bacterium. Its description in RNAcentral is "bacterial SSU rRNA". It matches the Rfam family "Bacterial small subunit ribosomal RNA", at positions 338 to 795 of the family's 1533-position model. The record is from RNAcentral.